UGGGGAAUCUUGCGCAAUGGGCGAAAGCCUGACGCAGCAACGCCGCGUGCGGGAUGAAGGCCCUCGGGUCGUAAACCUCUGUCGAAAGAGACGAAAGUAUCGUGAGCUAAUACCUCAUGGUAUCGACGGUACCUUUAAAGGAAGUGCCGGCUAACUCCGUGCCAGCAGCCGCGGUAAUACGGAGGGCACAAGCGUUGUUCGGAAUUAUUGGGCGUAAAGCGCGUGUAGGCGGCUUGGCAAGUCGGGUGUGAAAGCCCGGGGCUCAACCCCGGAAUUGCAUUCGAAACUGCCAAGCUAGAGUCUCGGAGAGGAGGGCGGAAUUCCCGGUGUAGAGGUGAAAUUCGUAGAUAUCGGGAGGAACACCAGUGGCGAAGGCGGCCCUCUGGACGAUGACUGACGCUGAGACGCGAAAGCGUGGGGAGCAAACAGGAUUAGAUACCCUGGUAGUCCACGCCGUAAACGUUGGGUGCUAGGUGUCGCGGGUAUUGACCCCUGCGGUGCCGGCGUUAACGCAUUUAGCACCCCGCCUGGGGAGUACGGUCGCAAGGCUG
RNAcentral lists this ribosomal RNA (551 nucleotides) under uncultured bacterium. RNAcentral's name for it is "bacterial SSU rRNA". It matches the Rfam family "Bacterial small subunit ribosomal RNA", at positions 355 to 896 of the family's 1533-position model. The record is from RNAcentral.